AUCCGUAUAUAAUAAUUUCAUUACAUACGGAUUUUAUAUACAGAUUAGUUACAUACGGAUUUUCCGUAUAUAAUAAGAAAAAAAAAUUAUAUACGGAUUUUCCGUACAUAAGAUCCGUAUGUAUGGUGGUGCCUUUUGAUGAGAGUUUUCCUAAGGAUGAAUUCGUAUAUAAUAUUUGUAUCUGACUGAAUUCCUCUCUACCCAAUUGUAAAAUAAUUAAUAAAAAAGAUUAAAAAAAUUAAGCCCUAAUAGAAGCAAAAACAAAGUUGGAAAGUUGUCCUUGAGCCCUUCUUCCCUCUUGUUGCUCCCUCUCGACCAUUGUUCUCCAGUUUCUUCUCUGGCGUUCGCUGUCAUGGAGUCGUGUUCUCAUUGAGCCAUUCUUCUCGUGCUUUUUUCCCUCCAUCAUCUGUAACCAUCAUCUUCGUUCAUCGAACAAUCAUCUUCGUGGCUCAAACCCUAGGAGUCCCUGCCUCCAAUCGUCGUCUUCAAGUUGUGGCCUCCUUGUUGUGGUACCCGUGUUCUCCAUCUCGAACGUGCUUUAUGCAGAUUCUGGAUUUUCUUCAUCUCGUAUGGCUUUUUUUUUUCCACUUUCUAUUAUUCUCGCAUGAUUAUUUGUGCAAGCAUAUUGGGCGAAGGUACCUUANGGGUUUUUAUCUUCUUCGUUUACUGAUAUUCUCGGUGUGAAAAUCUAUGUGAUUCUUGAAAUCUGAAUUAAGCUAUUAUUAUUAGCGGUGGUGGUUGAGUAAGUAAAUGUAAGUUUCUUUGAAACAUGCAAAUACGAAUAUGUUUAUAAUGUGGUUUUGCUUUGGUUUUUUGGUAGGUUACAGAUGAUUUGCGUUUAAUUUCGGCUUAUGUAGAUUUUGCACUGCUGUCGACAUGAAGGAGAAGAAGAAUAUUGCUUCUACUCUCAAGCGUAUUUUAGUGAAUUGUGCAUCCGAGGUUUGAUUUUGUUUUACAUAGAUCAAGCUAGAAAUGUGCUUUUGGUUUUGGGUUAGAUGAUGCAAUAUUGUGUGCAGAACCUUUUCGUUACAUCCUUUAGGUGGUUUGACUCCUAUAUAGAAUAAUUUAUAUAAUUUGUUUGUACCUUAGGUAAAUGGUUUGCUUGAUUUUAUUUUUCCAAUUGCAAGAAGUACCGAGUUUAGUUUAUCAGUUUGAUAAACGCUUUAAAAGCGCGAUUAUCAUUGAGGUUAGGUAGUUAGGAAAGAGAUAGACUGGGUUGUAUUAUAGGUGCUUCCCUACUCUCUUCUUGUCUUUUCCGUACUANCUUCUGAUGGUUGGACACAGACACAAACAUUGAUUUGGUUAAGACCUCAUCUAAUAGGCAAAAGCAUAUGGGAGCUGUGUUG
Molecule: long non-coding RNA, 1346 nt
Filed under: Vigna radiata
Lineage: Eukaryota; Viridiplantae; Streptophyta; Magnoliopsida; Fabales; Fabaceae
Description: long non-coding RNA (VRAD_LNC010372)
Source: RNAcentral